Molecule: ribosomal RNA, 2046 nt
Filed under: Triticum aestivum (bread wheat)
Lineage: Eukaryota; Viridiplantae; Streptophyta; Magnoliopsida; Poales; Poaceae
Description: partial small subunit ribosomal RNA
Source: RNAcentral
AUGCUCUUCCUCUUCACAAAGUACUUAUCCAGGGGCAGCAAGAACGCGGCAGCCGGCGACGCCGACAGGAGGCAGAGGCAGAGGCAGAAGCAGAAGCAGCGCGAGAUGCCGGCGGCAUCGGCGUCGAAUGGGGCUGCGGACCGCGAGCACGGGUGCAUGCCCGGCUGCGUGCCGGUGCGCGCCAAGCGGACGGCCACGGUUACGACCGUCACGACCACGUCGGCGAGGACGUCGCGCCACAACUUCGUCAGGUCGGCCGCGUCGGGGCUCUUCCCCGGGGCGCCGGUGUUCACCAACCACGAGUCCCUCCCGCCGCUCCCCGAGGCCUACUCGGAGUUCGCCUCCGCGUUCCCGCAGUACGGCGGGCUUGCCGGCUCGGCGGACGCGAUCAGGGACGGGGAGUACCGGCACCUCGACCGCCACGUCUGCCUGGACUACAACGGGAUGAACCUCUUCUCCCACGCGCAGAUGAACUCGUCGCUGCCGUCCACGUCAGCUCCGGCGGAGCCGUCGGCGUGGCAGCCGCCCUUCUUCGACAUCGCGUACAGGUCCGCGAGCCUGCGGUCGCAGGUGCAGCAAUGUGGGGACGGCACGGCCGCGCAAUCCGCGGCGGGAGGCAUCAGCGGCGCCGUCACGAGGCGCAUCAUGGCGUCCCUUAAGAUCCCCGAGGACGAGUACACCAUGGUGUGCACGGCGAACCGGACCACGGCCUUCCGGCUGCUGGCGGAGUCCUACUCCUUCACUCCCGGCGGCGGCAGGAAGAAGCUGCUCUCCGUGUACGACUACGAGAGCGAGGCGGUGGGUGCCAUGGCUCAGUGCGCGCGCAGCCGCGGCGCGGAGGUCAUGAACGCGAGCUUCGCGUGGCCGAGCAUGCGCGUCCACGCCGCAGACCUCCGCAAAAAGCUGCUCCGUGGGCGGCGGCGGCAGCGCGGCCGCGGGCUCUUCGUGUUUCCGCUGGUGUCCCGGAUGACCGGCGCGAGGUACCCGUACCUCUGGAUGAGCGCCGCGGCGGAGCAGGGGUGGCACGUGGCGCUGGACGCGUGCGCGCUCGGCGCCAAGGACCUCGACACCCUCGGCCUCUCCCUCCUCCGCCCGGACUUCAUCGUCUGCAACUUCUUCAAGGUGUUCGGCGAGAACCCCUCGGGCUUCGCCGGGCUGUUCGUCAAGAAGGCCAGCCUCGGCGCGCUCGAGCGCUCCGCGGUCGCGCGCAGCAUCGGCAUCGUCAACAUCGUUCCGGCGCGGCGGUGGUCGCUUCGCGACGACUAUUCCACCGACCUGGAGCACUCGCUCACCUUCCCCAAAGCGGGCGACCCGCCAACGGCGGACGAUGUCGAUACCACCUGCUCAUUUUCCGGCCCGCUCAGCGCCACCGCCACCGGUCGCAGGACAGACGAGGCCGAGAACGGCGACACGCCGGAAAUUUGCGAGGUCGACCGUAGGCCAUCCGAAGCCGAAGAAGACAGUCGGCCAUGGCCGCCGCCGGGAGCAGCCGAAGCAGAGGAGGAGCGCAUGCUGGAGGUGGAGUGCAGGGGGCUGGACCACGCGGACGCCCUGGGCCUCAUCGCCAUCGGCAACCGGCUGCGGUGCAUCAGCAACUGGCUGGUGGUGGCGAUGCAGAAGCUGCGGCACCCGCACCCGGAGCACGGCGGCGGGAAGCAGCUGGUGCGGGUGUACGGGCCGCGCGUCAAGUUCGAGCGGGGGCCCUCGCUGGCGUUCAACGUGUACGACUGGAAGGGGGAGAAGGUGGCGCCGGCGCUGGUGCAGAAGCUUGCCGACCGGCAGGCCAUCUCCCUCACCUGCGGCUUCCUGCGCAACAUCUGGUUCGCCGAUAAGUACGAGGCCGACAGGAGCGCCGUUCUUGAGCAGGCAAGCGACGGCGGCGGCGAGGUGGGGAUCCACGUGGUGAAUGCGUCGCUGGGGUUCUUGAGCAACUUCGAGGACGCGUACAAGCUGUGGGCGUUCGUGGCCAAGUUCUUGGACGCCGACUUCGUGGAGAAGGAGAGGUGGAGGUACACGGCGCUCAACCAGAAGACCGUCGAAGUGUAG